RNAcentral lists this long non-coding RNA (534 nucleotides) under Nicotiana tabacum (common tobacco). RNAcentral describes it as "long non-coding RNA (NTAB_LNC015229)". The record is from RNAcentral. Lineage: Eukaryota; Viridiplantae; Streptophyta; Magnoliopsida; Solanales; Solanaceae.
GGAGCCUCGAACCCCGAUCGCCUAAAAAUUUUCUGGACCAUUAAUUACGACCUAAGGAACCAUAGUAACCACCCUGCCAUGAUCGUUCCCCAUUUUUUGCGUUUUUCGGCCAAACAACUAGAAUUUCGCGCGAUUCCCAUAUUUUUGUGUGCGCCCACGCCUUCCGAGUGGGCCGGGCCGCCGGACACGGAUCGCCUAAAAAAUUUUCCGGACCAUUAAUUACGACCUAAGGAACCAUAGUAACCACCCUGCCAUGAUCGUUCCCCAUUUUUUGCAUUUUUUGGCCAAAAAACUAGAAUUCGCCCGAUUCCCAUAUUUUUGUGUGCUAUCGCCCACGCCUUCCGAGUGGGUCGGGCACCCCGGAGCCGGAUCGCCUAAAAUUUUUCCAGACUAUCAAAUACGACCUAAGGAACCAUAGUCACCGCCCCACCAUGAUCGUUCCAAAUGCUUUGCAUUUUUCGGCGAAAAAUUAGAACUCCGCGCGAUUUGCAUAUUUUAGUGUGCUAUAUCUUACGCCUUCCGAGUGGUCCCGGG